RNAcentral lists this ribosomal RNA (698 nucleotides) under Escherichia coli. RNAcentral's name for it is "partial 23S ribosomal RNA". It matches the Rfam family "Bacterial large subunit ribosomal RNA", at positions 2180 to 2872 of the family's 2925-position model. Lineage: Bacteria; Pseudomonadati; Pseudomonadota; Gammaproteobacteria; Enterobacterales; Enterobacteriaceae. The record is from RNAcentral.
AUGGAGCCGACCUUGAAAUACCACCCUUUAAUGUUUGAUGUUCUAACGUUGACCCGUAAUCCGGGUUGCGGACAGUGUCUGGUGGGUAGUUUGACUGGGGCGGUCUCCUCCUAAAGAGUAACGGAGGAGCACGAAGGUUGGCUAAUCCUGGUCGGACAUCAGGAGGUUAGUGCAAUGGCAUAAGCCAGCUUGACUGCGAGCGUGACGGCGCGAGCAGGUGCGAAAGCAGGUCAUAGUGAUCCGGUGGUUCUGAAUGGAAGGGCCAUCGCUCAACGGAUAAAAGGUACUCCGGGGAUAACAGGCUGAUACCGCCCAAGAGUUCAUAUCGACGGCGGUGUUUGGCACCUCGAUGUCGGCUCAUCACAUCCUGGGGCUGAAGUAGGUCCCAAGGGUAUGGCUGUUCGCCAUUUAAAGUGGUACGCGAGCUGGGUUUAGAACGUCGUGAGACAGUUCGGUCCCUAUCUGCCGUGGGCGCUGGAGAACUGAGGGGGGCUGCUCCUAGUACGAGAGGACCGGAGUGGACGCAUCACUGGUGUUCGGGUUGUCAUGCCAAUGGCACUGCCCGGUAGCUAAAUGCGGAAGAGAUAAGUGCUGAAAGCAUCUAAGCACGAAACUUGCCCCGAGAUGAGUUCUCCCUGACCCUUUAAGGGUCCUGAAGGAACGUUGAAGACGACGACGUUGAUAGGCCGGGUGUGUAA